GUAUACCAAGGUAAAUGCAAAAACUCGGAUACCUGUUCAUGUUAAAGAGAUGCACAUAAUAUUUAUCCAGACAAGAUUUGGAAUCCUUUUUUGUUAUACUCAGUAUCUCACGAAAAUAUCAUAUAAUUCAUGAAACUUGUUUUAUGAAUUUGGAAGUAAAUAAGUUUCAAAUGAAUGAUAAUCAUCAUGAUUAUAGUAAACAAUAACAACCAAUACAACAAUAGCAAUAAUAAUAAUGGUAAAGUUAGUGUCAGAGGUGUCGAGUGUCUAGCUGUCAAUUAAUGACGUUUUCUUACUGCAAGCGGUUAUUUUAGUUCAUUUUUAUGCAACAGCAAGUUUCGAAAAUUUUUUUUUUUCGAUUUUAAAUGAGCUCUUUUGUAUACAUAAAACAACUGAAUUAUUGAUAGAGUAAGUUUAUACAUUAUAAUUAUAAUAGCGAUAUUUUAAAUCACUGUUAAUACUUUAUUAACGAUAAAGAAUUUCCAAAUUUAAGUAAAAAAAUGAAAUAAUACGAGUUGAGUUCUUUAGUGAUUUGUGGCUAUAAAUUUUAUGUUAGUGAACUGACGGAAAUUAUCUUGAUUAUCAUAAUCAUUUAUUUUUGAUCUACAACUAAGAAUGGCCGACAAAAAUGCUGAACGAGAAGCUCUUCGGGGAGUUAUUCAGCAAUGGAAUGCUAAUAGAUUGGAUCUCUUUGAAUUAUCCGAACCAAACGAGGAUUUGGAAUUUCACGGCGUCAUGCGUUUUUACUUUCAAGAUAGCGGUCAGAAAGUUGCUACAAAAUGUAUCAGGGUCGCGUCUGAUGCCACGAGCCAAGCAGUGAUUGAAACUCUUAUUGAGAAGUUCCGUCCAGAUAUGCGGAUGCUUAGUGUCCCAGAGUAUGCACUCUAUGAAAUUCAUGAAAAUGGAGAAGAACGAAAACUUGGACUUGAAGAAAAACCUUUACUGGUUCAGUUGAACUGGCAUAUCGAUGAUCGAGAAGGUCGGUUUUUACUUCGACGGAUCGAUGACAAAACUAAUACAGCUGGAGUAGGUUUUGAAGAAGUUACAAGCUUCCGUAGGAAGUUAAGUAGACGAGAACGAAAACAACUAAAAAAACAAGAAAAACUUUGUCGUUUUAAGACUCCUGAACAGGGUCAUGAUUCACCUUUGAUCGAUAAAAAUGGUGUCGCUGAGAAGCUUUAUGUUGAAUUGCCGGAAACAAGUUUUACCAGAAGCAUUUCAAAUCCAGAAGCUGUGAUGCGUCGUCGUCGUCAACAGAAGUUAGAGAAAAAAUUGCAACAAUUUCAGAGCAAAGAUGGUGGUCCAGAUACAGGUGGUACCUUAAAAAUUUACGGGGAAGCUCUGUGUAAAGAUGUUCCAUAUAAAACGUUGUUAUUAAGCAUAAGAGAUUCUGCUGCUCAAAUUGUAAGAGAAAUGUUAUCUAAAUAUGGUCUUGACAAAGUGGAUGCUCAGCAAUAUUGUUUAGUACAGGUAACAACAGAAAAAAAUAACGGAAACGCACAUCAAGAAUAUAUUUUAGAUGAUGAUGAGUGUCCAUUGGCUAUCAUUAUGAAUAUAUCAUCAGUUUACGGUUCAAUAAUGUUUCACGUCAGAAGACGACCAGCAGAUUAUGUACCAAGAAAGAGAAAAAAGAAACCAAGUGGUAAAUGGGGUGAAAUGGAUAACAAGUACGAAGAUGAGAGAUUACCAUUUCUGUUAGAACUUAAUGCUGAUGGAUCGGAAGUACCGAAUGGUGCAGGAAUAAGACAUCGUUUACUACCAAACGUUACAGAAGUGGGAUCUGAAGUAUCUUCAAGCAACCAAGCUGGUCAUGCCCAAACUUUGACUCUCACUGGCUCCACAGUUAUGCCUCGUCAUUGUGUUAUCGCUUUUACUGAGAAUAUUGUUACUCUUACGCCUGCUUCGAGAGAUGCUCAUACUUAUGUAAAUAAUCAAAGAAUUCACCAGACUACAAUUCUUCAGAAUGGAGCCAUCAUCAAAUUCGGUCGACUACAUACGUUUAGAUUUAUUGAUCCUGCUCCUGAAGAUCGAAUCAGGCAGUACCACGAUUCAAAUAAACAAGCGGAGCACAAUCGUGAUAGCAGAUCAGGAGCCAGUUCUCCAAACGAUGGUCAAUGUUCUUCACCCAGUCCAGUAAAAUCGCAUGUCGCAAAUCUUAGUUCAAAAAAUACUGCACAUAGUUCUGUCAUUACGGAAGGCACACAUAAUUAUGAGACUACCUUCGAUUUAGAUGGAAAUGUUGAAACUGCAAGUCUUACAAGUAGCAGAGAUAGUAAUAGACUUUCGCAACAUUACGAUCGUCAACUUAGAGGUAUAGAUCCGAUCUUACCUGCAGUAUUAGAGUUUCUCGAAGAAACAGAAGAAACAUUCUUGCACGCAGUUAUUACUGAUGUUGAACCAUCAUCUUUACAAUUUAAACUUGCGCCAACAUAUACUCUAUAUCUUGCUACGAGAUACAGAGCAAGCACACAUUAUAGAUCUGAAUUACAACCAACAGAAAGAGCUCAUAGAUUAACUGUUAUGUUAGGAAAUGUUGCUACCAUGAUACAACGUAUAAUACAAGAUCGUUAUAUGGAUGCGCCUUCUUUAGCUCUAUGGCUUUCAAAUGGAUCAGAGUUUCUUCAUUUUCUAAAAAGUGAUCGUCAUAUAGGAGCUUUUUCAACUCGAGCUCAAGAUAUUUUAGUCGAUGCCGUUCAAAUGGCUUUCGGAUCACUUAUAAAUUGCGUAUCACUAGAACUAACACCAGCAAUGUCUCAAUUUAUGGCAGAUACGGACGAACCUGCAAGAGAAGCCAGCGUUUUACAAAUAUUUUCUAACACGAUGGCUUUACUUCGUCGGUAUAGGGUUAAUGCAGCUUUAACUAUUCAAUUUUUCAGUCAUUUGUUUCAUACAAUAAAUGCAACGGCUUUCAAUAUACUUAUAUCAAAUAAUAAUCUUUGCGUACGAUGGUUCGGACGUCGACUUAAAGCUCGAUUAAAUGCAAUUGAAACUUGGGCCGAACGACAAGGCUUGGAGCUUGCUAGUCAAUGUCAUCUUGCUACAAUAAUGCAAGCAACUCAUUUAUUGCAAGCACCUAAGUAUAAUACUGAAGAGCUAGCGGCUCUUAGUUCAACUUGUUUGAAACUCAAUUCCUUACAAGUUCGAGCUCUAUUGCAAAAAUACCAACCUACAGCGGAUGAACCACGCUUAACCACAGAAUUAAUAGAAAAUGUGGUAAAAAUCAUUGAAAAUGUUACUGAUACUCUUAUUAGAGCUGAUGGAAGAGAAAUACGUCUUGAAGAGGAACCAACUUUAGCUCUAGCAGUUUUAUUACCUGAAGAUGGUUAUAGCUGUGAAAUUAUUAAAGGCAUGCCACAAGGACUUGAGAAAUUCCUUGCCCCACUUCAGCGUGAUGGUAUUUGUAAAAUAGCUCCUCAACCAACAAGCAGUGGAUAUUGGACAGUAUACAUGAUUGACCAUCAUAAUAACUUCCGUAGUUCAAGCGCUAUGAGUAAUCGAUCUGGUGGCUAUAACAACCAUGUUUCUUCAAGCUAUGGUCAGCCAGAAAUUCAAAUCAUUCAGUUACAGAAGUCCACAAAUGGAAUGGGUCUCAGUAUUGUUGCCGCAAAGGGAGCUGGUCAAGAGCGAUUAGGAAUAUAUAUCAAAAGCGUAGUUUCAGGCGGAGCCGCUGAUAUUGAUGGUCGUUUAACAGCUGGGGAUCAAUUACUUAAAGUUGAUGGACAAAGUUUAGUUGGAAUAACUCAAGAAAAAGCAGCAGAAUAUCUGGUACGAACAGGACCUACAGUAACACUAGAAGUUGCUAAACAAGGUGCUAUUUAUCAUGGUUUAGCUACUCUCUUAUCACAACCAUCACCGUCAAUGAGCAGAGCGCUUAAGGUACGACCAAAAUCAGAAUAUGCAGACGCACCUCAAGUAUUUGAUGAAGUACAACCAUCAACUUCACGUUCAAUGGGAAAUUUGAUAUCAGCAAGAAAAGAAAUAACCACUCAGGAGGAUUCAGUUGAUUGGCAUCGUGAGUCGGAAAAUUAUCUAACUGGACCACGACGUAUGAGUGAACGGGAUAUUCCAUCACAAUUUCGCCAUGAAUCUGCUACUUCUCAAAUUCAUAGCAGCAAAUCAGUUCCUGCUCUGCAUAGUGUUGACGCAGAAAAUAAGCAACUGCAAGCCCAACCAUGUCAACACGAAAUGUUCAAUCCAGGAUACAGCAGAACGUCAUCUAGUAAUAGUACAACACCACCAGUUCAACCGCCGCCUAUGCCAUCUAUGAAUGGCGCUUCGUCUCUGAGAUCACGUUCAAGUAACAACCUUCACGAACCAACAAAAAUGACUCAUUUGCCUCUUUCCGGUUUGAUGAAUCGCCAGCGAUCUUCACCGAAUUUGAAUCCAAGUCAAUCAUUUGGAAACACUUUGAACAAUAUUCAGAAUAAUGAAGCUGAAAGAUUUUAUCAAAACUUAAGCGUCUAUAGACAUCAAGAUCCAACAGUAAAACAAUUAGGUCCUUACCAUACAUCAGUUGAUCGAAAUUCAAUGUACACGCCAAAGCAGUUGAAAGGCUCUCAAAAUUCAUUAAAUAAUCCAAUUUUGGAUGUAAACCAAGGAAAAGAUCGGCCGCUUUCAGCAUAUGUUUCUCCAGACCAAAUAAAUUACAAUGCUUAUCAAAUUCCUCAAGCAGGAUCUCUUUUGAAAACACAAUCGUCGAGAGAUAUAAUUCGUCAAGAGGCUAAAUUACAAGAAAUGAAAGAAGAAGUGCGACGCCGUGAGUUAAGGGCAGGUGCAAUAUUAAGUAGUCAACAUCAAACCAAUUCUCUCAAUAUGCGACCUACUACUUCUCAAACCAAUAUUGGUAUUUAUAAGCAAACAAGUUUAGUACCAAAUCUCGAUUUGAAUUCUCCAACUUACAAUACAAAACAAAUAAGUUCAAAUUAUGGGUCAUCUGAUCCUCAACACAACCAAUAUAUUUUAUACAACAAACAACUGAUUUCGAACCAAUAUACUUCCAUUUCGAAAAAGAAUGACGCAUCUUGUUCUAACCAACAAAUUACUGAAUUAGACAAAGAAUAUGAUGCAGAUCUCAGUCGACCAAUUACAGAAUAUAAUCAACAAUUAGGACUUUUUAAUAAGCCUCAGUUUUUAAAUAAUUCAUCUAAUGUGAAUCAUCAACGUAAUAUUAAUGAAAAUCCAUCUAAUCAAAUGCAUUACGAAAAUAAUAUCAAUAAAGAAUCCUUACCUCUACAUUCAAUUCUUGAAAAAGAAUAUAAAGAAAGACAUCCUCCUCCUCCACUUAAUACUUCAACUCAUCCAUUUAAUAUGAAACAAAUCGAUUCCAGGUAUACUUCUGGUGGACAAGAAGUCCCAAAAGGAAGUUACUAUUCAACAACCAAUUCAAGUCAACAAAAUCGACAGCAUCAAUACAAUGCCACUAAUCCAUGGCAACGGGAAGAACGAGAAAAAGAACAAGCACGACGACGAGAAGCUGCAAAAUUAUGGCGAGAUCAACAAAUUGCUGAAUUGAAUUCACUUUCGCACAGAACACAACAACAAGAAGAACAACUUCGAGCUCUCCAAUUAGAAAGAGACUUUCAAAAAAGAGCUGAAGAAGCUGCAGCUCAACAAGAUGAAGAUGAAGAAAGUAAUGAUCUUGAUAAUCAAAAUAUACCAUGUGUCCAAGGAUUGUUAAAAAUGGCAGCAACUCCAGAGAAAAAUUACCCGUCAAUUCAGCCAAAUACUUUAUCACGAACAAAUCUAGCUAAUCAAUCAAUUAGGGGAACGAAUUCAUCUCAGUCAGCGAGUCAUCAAUUGAAACUACCUUUUAAUUCCUUACCUAUCGUAACAUCUCAACAAGAUCUAAUGAAAUAUGGAAAUGUAAGUUUACAUGAUAGUUCGAAUAUAAAUUUACAACAUAUUUCAAACAUAAACGAUUUUAAACAAGUUUCUACAUCUUCAACAUAUAAUUCACCACCAGUUUUUGGACAGCUGUCAAAUAAUAUGAAAAUGAAUACUCAACUUCAGAUGCAUGAAGAACAAGAAAGAAAUCAACGAAUGGAUGAAUACAAAGACGAAGAAAUUGAUUAUGACGGUAAUCAUCGAAAGAAUGAAGAAGAUACAAAACACAGUCAACAACAAUAUCAAAAAAAUCAAACAAAUCCAAAAAAUCAACAACAGUUGUAUACAGAAAUGUUAAAAUUGGAUAAUUUAUAUAUUAAUGAUGGAAACGAAGCACCAGUACCACCAGAACGGGGUUCCAGUUAUACUGUUAUGUCUCAACAAAAUGUUUUAAGAUCAUCUAAUGCUGCUACAAUUUCAUCGUCAAUCGGAUCUCACCAAGCUUCCAUUAAAAGAGUCUCUUUCCAUGACUCUAAUGCUAAUAUUGAAAACUUUUCAAAAAAUAGCAUCAUCUCAAAUUUAUCGUCGCCUUACAGCAUGGGCACUAUAAAAGAGGAUUCUAAUGCGUUGUCAACUCUAGAUCAACAGAGUAGAAAGCUAGGGCAUCGACGGUUCCGAAUAAGUGGCUUAAAAGCCUGGCAUCGAUGAUUUCACGUUGAAGAUAUUGGAAAAAAUUGAAUGAUUAAAACUAUAGAUAUACAGCUUUGUAAAGAUUGAUUAACUAACCAGCUUGGCUGACUGGUCAAUUGGUCUUUGGAUAGACGGUAUCGAUAAAAUUGGAUGAUCAAGACUGACACAGCACUUUCUCAUUGUUUCAAUGUAGCAUUGUUAUUGUCGUCAACUACGUAACCUCUUAAGAAUAUUUACAAGAUAGUGAAGUAAGAAUUUCAUAUAUGAUACGAAGGGUCUAUUGGCAUCUCCACAAACACCAGAUGGUUCUGUCAAUCAAUUUGGUGGAGGUA
RNAcentral lists this unclassified non-coding RNA (6845 nucleotides) under Cotesia glomerata. RNAcentral's name for it is "afadin, transcript variant X13". Lineage: Eukaryota; Metazoa; Arthropoda; Insecta; Hymenoptera; Braconidae. The record is from RNAcentral.